This is an RNA transcript of Episyrphus balteatus (marmalade hoverfly), 1618 nucleotides long. It is a transcript of the gene named replication protein A 70 kDa DNA-binding subunit-like, with no coding region annotated. The transcript has 7 exons. The record is from RefSeq and is a predicted model, not a curated record. Lineage: Eukaryota; Metazoa; Arthropoda; Insecta; Diptera; Syrphidae.
UGAGCUCAACAAAGAAACUCCGACCUCAGACCGCGAAAAUCGGGGUUGCACUCACACACUUGCAACUUUUUGUGUAUGAACACAAAAGUCGAACGAGAAUCGUGGUGAAAAAGUGCGAAAAGGAAAACACGAUAUGAUAGAGACAAGUGCAACCCCAUUGUGCAAAUUUGUUUAAACGUCAAAAUUAUUAAAACAAUAAAAAAAAGUAAGCGAGUGGAGGAAGCGAAAGGCGAGUGCUGAUCAUUUUAGAACUAACUGUUUUGAACCAUGGAGCAGAAGUUGGUAAAAAAAUUGGUAAUCCUGUACAAUACGCAGCAGCACCUGCUGCUACACCAAAAUUGGCCAGUGAAUCAACAUACCCAUCGAAAACAACCAAUGGAAAUUUAUAAAACUCUUCGUCAAACAAGAACUAUAAUAGCACUUCAAUGAAUCAAUCGAUGAAUGCUUCCAUGACUGCUCCCAUAGCGAGUUUAACUCCAUACCAAAAUAAAUGGGUAAUCAAAGCACGUGUUACAUCCAAGUCAGGCAUACGCACUUGGAGUAAUGCUUAAGGAGAAGGCAAACUCUUUAAUAUGUAUCUGCUAGACGAAUCUGGUGAAAUUCGUGCUACAGCAUUUGAGGAGCAGUGCGACCGAUAUUAAGAUAUGAUUGAAGUCGAUAAAGUUUAUUUUUUCUCAAAGUGCCAGCUGAAACCAGCAAAUAAGCAAUAUUCUUCUCUUAAAAAUAUAACGAGAUGACAUUUACAGGCGAGACACUAGUUCAGCCUUGCGAAGAAGAAGAUGAUAGCAUUCAAUAUAAUUUAGUGCCAAUUUCACAAAUUGCAAAUAUUGAACCUAAAGCUGCUGUUGACACAAUUGGUAUUUGUCGUGAUGUUGGUGAAUUAAAUACAGGACAAAUAAGGAAUUCAAGUAACGAGAAUUUAAUCUUGUUGAUAUCGGUAAUGCUGCGUAUAAAUCUGAAGCUCUACUGAUGAGAGGAACCUUUCAUUUGUUGUCAGCCAACUAUGCCGAUUCAAAGACAGACUUGGAUGCCGUCAUUAAUAAUGGAAAUAAUGUGCUGGACAAAGGCGAAACAAAGCUGUAAUCUACCUAAGGUUUUUCGUCGAAAAAUGACAAACAAUGUACCAAGUGUACCACAUCAAUUUGGACCAGCCACCAAUAUCAUAAGCUUCAAAUUAAGUGUUGAACCGCAGUAUAAAACCCCCAAGUAAUAAUGAAAAAAAUCACAGAUCGAACUGAAAGUCGAUCAAUCAGGUGGGCCAAUGCAUACGGACGUGAUACACAUGACUGAAAAUCUCUAGCAGGACAACAAAAGUGGAGGAAGUAUCACCGAGGGUAUACCAACACCAACUCAGUCGGGGUAUUCAAGAUUCGAUGCAAAUGGUCUUGUAUCGUUUCCUGGGAAUCCCCAGCAGAGAAUAACGAAUCAGUAGGAAGUAUGAUCAAAGGAAUCCACAGUGUAUUGAUUAAGUGCAGGGAAUACUGGACAACAAGUUGAACAACAACAGCAGCAACAACAAAUGAAAAAAUUUAUUUUGUUUAAUAUUUGUUUUAAUAUUGUAUUUAUUGUAUUUCUUUUGCUAAAAAAAACAUUAAAAUUAAAAAAAGAAAAAGCAAUU